This 253-nucleotide ribosomal RNA is filed under the name uncultured bacterium. RNAcentral describes it as "partial 16S ribosomal RNA". It matches the Rfam family "Bacterial small subunit ribosomal RNA", at positions 524 to 776 of the family's 1533-position model. The record is from RNAcentral.
UACGGGGGGGGCAAGCGUUGUUCGGAAUUACUGGGCGUAAAGGGCUCGUAGGCGGCCAACCAAGUCAGACGUGAAAUCCCUCGGCUUAACCGGGGAACUGCGUCUGAUACUGGAUGGCUUGAGUGUGGGAGAGGGAUGCGGAAUUCCAGGUGUAGCGGUGAAAUGCGUAGAUAUCUGGAGGAACACCGGUGGCGAAGGCGGCAUCCUGGACCAUUACUGACGCUGAGGAGCGAAAGCCAGGGGAGCAAACGGG